CUAACGGCCCUUUUUAGGGCCAACCACAAGCCCACCAGAAGAGCUG
Mesocricetus auratus (golden hamster) is the source of this 46-nucleotide non-coding RNA. NCBI's taxonomy places the organism in Eukaryota, Metazoa, Chordata, Mammalia, Rodentia, Cricetidae. The record is from Rfam.